UACGGAGGAUGCAAGCGUUAUCCGGAUUUAUUGGGUUUAAAGGGUGCGCAGGCGGAAUUGUAAGUCAGUGGUGAAAUCCUACAGCUUAACUGUAGAAUUGCCAUUGAUACUGCAAAUCUAGAGUUUAGUUGAAGUGGCUGGAAUGUGUCAUGUAGCGGUGAAAUGCAAAGAGAUGACACAGAACACCAAUAGCGAAGGCAGGUCACUAAGCUAAUACUGACGCUCAGGCACGAAAGCGUGGGGAUCAAACAGG
Molecule: ribosomal RNA, 253 nt
Filed under: uncultured bacterium
Lineage: Bacteria
Description: partial 16S ribosomal RNA
Rfam family: Bacterial small subunit ribosomal RNA
Source: RNAcentral